Rhipicephalus sanguineus (brown dog tick) is the source of this 549-nucleotide long non-coding RNA. RefSeq lists it as uncharacterized. Lineage: Eukaryota; Metazoa; Arthropoda; Arachnida; Ixodida; Ixodidae. The record is from RefSeq and is a predicted model, not a curated record. The transcript is spliced from 3 exons.
UUGUUCUGUGUCAGCGUCUCGUGAGCUCGUUACGUCUUCAAGAACAUUAAUUUCAUCUGAGAACGUGCCGCCCUCCCUUUUGCGAUGUGCAAAGAUCGUGCGCAAGUCGUGCGUUUUUUGGAGCGCCAGUCACGUACGAGUCGUUCAAGGAAUCGAAGGAAUGUACUACGGGCGCUCGUAGGACUCCGCAGCAUGUCCGCAGCUGAUGGCUGACGCCCGUUGCGCCCGUGGCUACCGACACGAGACCGGCUACCGACUGCGUGACAGUAUGAAAGGUCGAUCUUGGCCCACGACUGUAAAUGGAAAACCAAAAGUGGCGGUGGCGGUGUUCUCUGUCAGAGAAACAGCAAAAGUGCUAUCGCACAACGAAACAUUGCACAACUGAAGCAUCGCCUGUGCCUCAUGCUGCUGUUUCAUCAAAGAUCAAGGUCAUCGCCCUUGGAGGGACUUUAUGCAUGGCAGCAUGGUUCGAGUUCCACACGGAGAAUCCUGAAGCUAAUUCUUCCAAGGCAGAGCGGGGCAUGCUGAAAGUUAUCAGAAGGCCGAAAG